GAUGAACGCUGGCGGCGUGCCUAAUACAUGCAAGUCGAGCGAACAGAUGAGGAGCUUGCUCCUCUGACGUUAGCGGCGGACGGGUGAGUAACACGUGGAUAACCUACCUAUAAGACUGGGAUAACUUCGGGAAACCGGAGCUAAUACCGGAUAAUAUAUUGAACCGCAUGGAUCAAUAGUGAAAGACGGUUUUGCUGUCACUUAUAGAUGGAUCCGCGCCGCAUUAGCUAGUUGGUAAGGUAACGGCUUACCAAGGGAACGAUGCGUAGCCGACCUGAGAGGGUGAACGGCCCCAUUGGGACUGGGCCACGGGCCCAGCCCCUAACGGAGGGAGCCGUAGGGAACUUUCCCCCAUGGGGGAAAACCCUAUCGGGCCACCCCCGCUGGGUGAAUGAGGUCUUCCGAUUCUAAAAACCUUUUUUUUGAGAAAAAACAAAUUGGUAAUAACUGUUCCCCGUUUUGCCGUUACCAAACAGAAAGCCCCCGCUAACCACGUG
This 497-nucleotide ribosomal RNA is filed under the name uncultured bacterium. RNAcentral's name for it is "partial 16S ribosomal RNA". It matches the Rfam family "Bacterial small subunit ribosomal RNA", at positions 28 to 507 of the family's 1533-position model. The record is from RNAcentral.